RNAcentral lists this transfer RNA (74 nucleotides) under Mycobacterium phage BabyRay. RNAcentral describes it as "tRNA-Trp". It matches the Rfam family "tRNA". Rfam says of the family: Transfer RNA (tRNA) molecules are approximately 80 nucleotides in length. Their secondary structure includes four short double-helical elements and three loops (D, anti-codon, and T loops). Lineage: Duplodnaviria; Heunggongvirae; Uroviricota; Caudoviricetes. The record is from RNAcentral.
UGAUCUGUAGCUCAAUCGGUAGAGCAGCGGUCUCCAAAGCCGCGUGCUGCAGGUUCGAGUCCUGCCGUGCCUGC